Molecule: long non-coding RNA, 384 nt
Organism: Bombina bombina (fire-bellied toad)
Lineage: Eukaryota; Metazoa; Chordata; Amphibia; Anura; Bombinatoridae
Exons: 2
Source: RefSeq, a predicted model, not a curated record
UUCUUGGCAGGGGAGGCUAAAGGUAUUGGGCUUGUCUGAGUCUCCUAGGCAAAUGCAAUUGCGGACCCACCAUCCAGGGAGUGACAUGACACCAAUGCCCUCCCUAGUCGAUAGGUCUGGAGGAUCCCCUUUGCGCAUCUCAAGGGAAAAAGCCAGAAUCAGAGGAGAGUCAGCUGACAAUAUGGAGAUGGAGGCUACUCAUGUACAGAAUGUCUGUUGACUCCCUAUAACAACCCACAGACCAGUCAAGUACGUUUCAAUGAAGCUCACCAAACUACCAGGGGGAUAAUUGUUGAUGCGAAAAGUGAGGAUUCUUGGAUUUUGAAGUGGUUUCAGAUCCAGAUGAAUCCAUAUCCAAAUUGUAAAUAAAUAUUACAAAAAUAA